CCUCAGUAGCUUAAUCCUCAAAGCAUUGGUCUUGUAAACCAAAGAAUGAAGAAUAAACCCUUCCUGAAGCU
Molecule: transfer RNA, 71 nt
Filed under: Duttaphrynus melanostictus (Asian common toad)
Lineage: Eukaryota; Metazoa; Chordata; Amphibia; Anura; Bufonidae
Description: partial tRNA-Thr
Rfam family: tRNA
About the family: Transfer RNA (tRNA) molecules are approximately 80 nucleotides in length. Their secondary structure includes four short double-helical elements and three loops (D, anti-codon, and T loops).
Source: RNAcentral